RNAcentral lists this ribosomal RNA (301 nucleotides) under uncultured bacterium. RNAcentral's name for it is "partial 16S ribosomal RNA". It matches the Rfam family "Bacterial small subunit ribosomal RNA", at positions 509 to 809 of the family's 1533-position model. The record is from RNAcentral.
CAGCAGCCGCGGUAAUACGUAGGGUGCGAGCGUUAAUCGGAAUUACUGGGCGUAAAGCGUGCGCAGGCGGUUGUGUAAGACAGGUGUGAAAUCCCCGGGCUUAACCUGGGAACUGCGCUUGUGACUGCACAGCUAGAGUAUGGCAGAGGGGGGUGGAAUUCCACGUGUAGCAGUGAAAUGCGUAGAGAUGUGGAGGAACACCGAUGGCGAAGGCAGCCCCCUGGGCCAAUACUGACGCUCAUGCACGAAAGCGUGGGGAGCAAACAGGAUUAGAGACCCCUGUAGUCCCUGUCUCUUAUAA